RNAcentral lists this ribosomal RNA (438 nucleotides) under uncultured bacterium. RNAcentral's name for it is "partial 16S ribosomal RNA". It matches the Rfam family "Bacterial small subunit ribosomal RNA", at positions 339 to 795 of the family's 1533-position model. The record is from RNAcentral.
CUACGGGCCGCACCAGUGAGGAAUAUUGGACAAUGAGGAAACUCUGAUCCAGCCAUGCCGCGUGAGUGAAGAAGGCCUUAGGGUUGUAAAACUCUUUCAGUGGGGAAGAUAAUGACGGUACCCACAGAAGAAGCCCCGGCUAACUCCGUGCCAGCAGCCGCGGUAAUACGGAGGGGGCUAGCGUUAUUCGGAAUUACUGGGCGUAAAGCGCAUGUAGGCGGUUUGGAAAGUUGGGUGUGAAAUCCCGGGGCUCAACCCCGGAACUGCACUCAAAACUAUCAGACUAGAGUUCGGUAGGGAGUAGUGGAAUUCCUAGUGUAGCAGUGAUAUGCGUAGAUAUUAGGAGGAACACCAGAGGCGAAGGCGACUGCUUGGACCGAUACUGACGCUGAGAUGCGAAAGCGUGGGGAGCGAACGGGAUUAGAUACCCGGGUAGUC